UGUUCAGCGUGCGAUAGUGGGUGCACGAAAUAUGAGGCACACGAAACCAUUUCAUCUUGCGCGUUGAACUAUUUUCCCUGCGCAGGUGUAAUAGAAGUUGUUUUUUCAUCGCGGCGUUUAUAUAGGGUAAGGGACGUGGGUGUUGGAGAGACGAACCCAAUUUGAAGCGCGUGAAGAGGAAUAGCAGACGCGCAAAAAGUUGCUCAGAAAAAGAAAAAAACGCGCAAGAAAAGAAAAGGAGGGGAAGCAGAGCAGGGGCGUAGCGCCGCCGGCCACAUCAACAUUUCGGUGACCACGGGAGGGGCGGCGUGUCUCCACUGCCUUCUAGCCAUACGGGCGGCCCGGCAACUCCAGGACCACGGGCUUGGGGGCUACUACUCCGGCGACCACUGCUCGGUAACUCCGGUGAAGCCGCCAGGGUCCCCGCCGCCUCCCGCCGACAAGGAUGCGGCUCUUCCUGCCCUGAACUAUUCUGACAGGCUGACAGCUCCUCUUCCAUCACCAAAGGCCCUGAACAUUGAACAUAAGUAUUUAUGUUCAACCACCCUAUCAUUGACGUAACUGCAUUGUUGCUUGUUCCUUGUUCCAGUUGUAAUUUUCAAUUGGUGGUUGCUGCUUGCAAAUAAUUUAGAGGUUGAUGAUAGAUUGUUCUCUUUUCAUUAGUAUGUUCUAAAAGAGGAGCAAAACCAUUCCGAAUUAGCAAUUUGUUGUUGCUACUCUGCAAUUUUCUGCUUGGUAUCCAAAAUAACAAACAGGAAAUCCGUGGUUCAAAAUUUUAUCUCUUUCGUUAUGAGAGUUUGAAGAAACAACCUCUUGUAGUAGUGUAGGAAAAGCUGCGUACUAUAGACUCAAAGUGGUCGGACCCUUCCCUGGAUCCUGCGCAAGCGGCAGCUACGUGCACCGGGCUGCUCUUAUCAGAGUUUGAGGAUCUUUACCAACUGCACUAGAAUAUUAGGAAGCUAAGAAAAAAGGAGCUCAUUUUUAUUUAGAUUAAAACUGCAAAUACUGCAAUUAACAAAUUGUUGUAAUUUAAAUGAAUUACCAACAUUGUUGCUAA
Molecule: long non-coding RNA, 1057 nt
Organism: Hordeum vulgare subsp. vulgare (domesticated barley)
Lineage: Eukaryota; Viridiplantae; Streptophyta; Magnoliopsida; Poales; Poaceae
Exons: 2
Source: RefSeq, a predicted model, not a curated record